GCCUUUUUUUCUUUUGGAUGGACUUCAGUCCGUUCUUCAUGGCCCUGCGAAUUAUACCUGAAGGCGCUACCCCGCUAAAUCUAAUCGUCUCCUUUGUUCAUCUGAUUUUGACUUCGGCGGCAAAGAUGAAUCUCAUCAUCUUCUUCUUGCUGUAAUUAGGUCAACCGACUAUGGAUUUCUGGAGGUGUAUUUGAGAAGAAUCUUGAUGGGUUCUCUAGAAGAAUGGUCUCUUCUGGAGAGAUUCUUUGCCAGGAGAUAAUUCUUCUGAAGAGUAAGCCAAGCAAGCUUCGUCUUCCAAUUACUGGAAUAGCUGUGGUUGAUAUUUUAGAUCUCAGGCAUACUGUUAGUUCAGCGAUUGAUUCGUGCAUGUUGUGGCGGAAUGAUGAAUAUCACUGCACAAGAAACAGUCCUGCUCAAACAAUGUCAAGGAUUCUUAUCAAGGUUCUGUGUUGAGAUGACUGUCUCGGAUGACUCUGCUGUGUUUGUAGGUUUUGCGAUGCAAUGGAGAAAUAUUCCUGCUCAGUGUCACAAAAUGUGAAGAAUACCCGCAGAACAUGGCCAUUCCACAAUGCCUAAGGAAUAUUAAGGGGGAGGAACUUCACAUUAGACCUCAAGAAUUCUCAGUUCAAUUUUUCAUCUAAGCAUCAGUUAUUUACCAUUGCACGCAAUUUUUUAUCGCAACCAGCACCCACCACAUCCUAAUUUUGGUAUUUAGAAAGGUCAUGACAACGCAUGCAAUGAUAUCUCAACUCUUGGAGCUCAUAAUGCUAACCUGUGGUGUCAACUACCCUGCAGGCUCUUCUAUUUCAAUUCUCAAAUUAAUAAGUUUUCCAACAACUCUUUGUUUAUGUGUUUUUAAUCAUUUAGUUUUAAACUUUUAAAACAAUCAUUCAGACUCUUGCAAGAAAACUAUAUUCUCUGCUUCAGUA
Brassica napus (rape) is the source of this 929-nucleotide long non-coding RNA. RefSeq lists it as uncharacterized. Lineage: Eukaryota; Viridiplantae; Streptophyta; Magnoliopsida; Brassicales; Brassicaceae. The record is from RefSeq and is a predicted model, not a curated record. The transcript has 6 exons.